Molecule: ribosomal RNA, 253 nt
Filed under: uncultured bacterium
Lineage: Bacteria
Description: partial 16S ribosomal RNA
Rfam family: Bacterial small subunit ribosomal RNA
Source: RNAcentral
UACGUAGGGUGCGAGCGUUAAUCGGAAUUACUGGGCGUAAAGCGUGCGCAGGCGGCGCCAUAAGACAGAUGUGAAAUCCCCGGGCUUAACCUGGGAACUGCGUUUGUGACUGUGGUGCUCGAGUGCGGCAGAGGGGGGUGGAAUUCCACGUGUAGCAGUGAAAUGCGUAGAGAUGUGGAGGAACACCGAUGGCGAAGGCAGCCCCCUGGGUCGACACUGACGCUCAUGCACGAAAGCGUGGGGAGCAAACAGG